This 97-nucleotide ribosomal RNA is filed under the name Litchfieldia luteola. The record is from RNAcentral. Lineage: Bacteria; Bacillati; Bacillota; Bacilli; Caryophanales; Bacillaceae.
AGGUCACACCCGUUCCCAUGCCGAACACGGAAGUUAAGCUCUUCAGCGCCGAUGGUAGUUGGGGGUUUCCCCCUGUGAGAGUAGGACGUUGCUAGAC